Molecule: ribosomal RNA, 229 nt
Filed under: uncultured Alicycliphilus sp.
Lineage: Bacteria; Pseudomonadati; Pseudomonadota; Betaproteobacteria; Burkholderiales; Comamonadaceae
Description: partial 16S ribosomal RNA
Rfam family: Bacterial small subunit ribosomal RNA
Source: RNAcentral
AGCUGAUCAUUGGGUUUAAAGCGUGCGCAGGCGGUUUUGUAAGACAGAGGUGAAAUCCCCGGGCUCAACCUGGGAACUGCCUUUGUGACUGCAAGGCUGGAGUGCGGCAGAGGGGAUGGAAUUCCGCGUGUAGCAGUGAAAUGCGUAGAUAUGCGGAGGAACACCGAUGGCGAAGGCAAUCCCCUGGGCCUGCACUGACGCUCAUGCACGAAAGCGUGGGGAGCAAACA